Molecule: long non-coding RNA, 1174 nt
Organism: Schistocerca gregaria
Lineage: Eukaryota; Metazoa; Arthropoda; Insecta; Orthoptera; Acrididae
Exons: 3
Source: RefSeq, a predicted model, not a curated record
ACAAUUCUUCAACCAUCUCAGAAGGACACAUGAGUUCCAGGUCCUCAGAGUGCGAGGAGUCUCAAAGUAUCUGGAUAGAGCGAGACUAUGAGUACAAGAAAUGUGCUCGCUUUUCAGACCAGAUCCCUCACGUUUUUCUUGAACGUGGAGUGGAUCCGGAGCGGUAUCGUCUCACGAUUAACCGUAUUAAUUGCUAUUUUGAAAAAGCUAGCAAAAUUGACUGCGCAACUGUACUAGAAAAUAUGCUGUUUUGUAUGACUUGUUAUGUGCUAUCGAUAUUUAAAGAAACGAAGUCGUCCAAGAUUAUGGAGCAAAUGGAGAGUUUCAUAACCUCAGAGAAUCAAUCUUACUACAAGGAAAAGGGCCUGAAAAUACUCAACCCGAUGAAGAACGGUUUGAUCGGUAUAUCCUUCUCUUCACGUUGUUGGCUUUUCACAGAAUGUUUUUUGUUUAUUUUGUGUGAUAAAUGUAUGAGAAUGUAUCUCAAAAGAGGGAUGCGUUUGUUUUUAUAUGUGACGAGUGUGCGAAACGGUUUUUCCUUAACGGUUUCAAACUUGGAGGUAAUCCUUUAUAAAAAGAAGUACAACAAGCCUGUAAGGGUAUGAUGUACAUAAAGUUUCAACCUGAAGUGGCUUUACAAGAAUGGACUUCCUCUUUUUCCACUACCGAAUCGGAGAUCUGCGAUUGCCUGAAUUCCUUCGUAGAACGCCUUCGAGGUAAUUGGCGAAUUAGGCUCGUAGCAAGGGUUCAUGAGCAUCUAAAGAAGAGCCAAGUAGAUAAGCAGGGGUGGACGAGUUUGCGGGGAUUGCACCAUUUCAAAAAAACAAGAAAUCAGAACGCGACGCACUUUUAAAUAGAGCUCAUGACAGUCUCGGAAGAACUGUUUGAUUGCCUCUUCGCUCUUUUGGUUUUGGUGUGCGAGCAAAAACUUGGUGACUGCACAGAAUUGCCACCCGAAGCAUAAAUGUAUAAUCGCAAACAUACUGAGUUAAAGAAUGCAUACUGUAGUCAUUCUACAUAUGAAAUGUGAAACAAUAGAAUGUACAACGUAUGAAAAAAAGGAUACGGCCGCUGGUAACGUAUGCCGAGACUGAAAAGGAUUUAUACUUGUCAAUAGUUGAUAAAUAUCUACAUUGACAAUAUAAUAAAACAGAUGAGUUUUCGCACGCCUAAA